UUCAACCAAAUGGACUGUGGUAAAAUUGGAAGGAUAAUGAGAAGAUAAGCAUGCCCCAUGCUCAAGAAAGACACACAAAUUUAGGAAGCAUUCGUCCAUAUCU
Molecule: small nuclear RNA, 103 nt
Organism: Vombatus ursinus (common wombat)
Lineage: Eukaryota; Metazoa; Chordata; Mammalia; Diprotodontia; Vombatidae
Source: Ensembl